AGCCUCUCAUGGUUGCAUCUGGAGAGUUUCCAGUCCUCUACCAGUCUCGACUAUGAGAGGGAGAGUCAAGCAGAGACCUACUCAUUCCAUUCCUAGCUUGGGCGGUGGCUAGCGAGUGGAAGGCAAUCCGCUACAGGU
This is a small nucleolar RNA of Ornithorhynchus anatinus (platypus), 138 nucleotides long. The record is from RefSeq and is a predicted model, not a curated record. Lineage: Eukaryota; Metazoa; Chordata; Mammalia; Monotremata; Ornithorhynchidae.